CGUAGGGUGCAAGCGUUAAUCGGAAUUACUGGGCGUAAAGCGUGCGCAGGCGGUUAUGUAAGACAGUUGUGAAAUCCCCGGGCUCAACCUGGGAACUGCAUCUGUGACUGCAUAGCUAGAGUACGGUAGAGGGGGAUGGAAUUCCGCGUGUAGCAGUGAAAUGCGUAGAUAUGCGGAGGAACACCGAUGGCAAAGGCAAUCCCCUGGACCUGUACUGACGCUCAUGCACGAAAGCGUGGGGAGCAAACAGGAUUAGAUACCCUGGUGGUCCACGCCCUAAACGAUGUCAACUGGUUGUUGGGUCUUCACUGACUCAGUAACGAAGCUAACGCGUGAAGUUGACCGCCUGGGGAGUACGGCCGCAAGGUUG
Molecule: ribosomal RNA, 370 nt
Filed under: uncultured organism
Description: bacterial SSU rRNA
Rfam family: Bacterial small subunit ribosomal RNA
Source: RNAcentral